Molecule: ribosomal RNA, 264 nt
Filed under: uncultured bacterium
Lineage: Bacteria
Description: partial 16S ribosomal RNA
Source: RNAcentral
CUGCUGCCUCCCGUAGGAGUUUGGUCCGUGUCUCAGUACCAAUGUGGGGGGUUGACCUCUCAGUCCCCUAUGUAUCGUCGCCUUGGUGAGCCGUUACCUCACCAACUAGCUAAUACAACGCAUGUCCAUCUCUGACCACCUGAGUUUUCAACCACCGAAGAUGCCUCCGGUGAUGUUAUGGGGUAUUAGUACCAAUUUCUCGAUGUUAUCCCCCUGUCAAAGGUAGGUUACAUACGCGUUACGCACCCGUCCGCCGGUCGCCGG